This 250-nucleotide long non-coding RNA is filed under the name Lathyrus oleraceus (garden pea). RNAcentral's name for it is "Pisum sativum (pea) long non-coding RNA (PSAT_LNC024120)". The record is from RNAcentral. Lineage: Eukaryota; Viridiplantae; Streptophyta; Magnoliopsida; Fabales; Fabaceae.
AAAUAUGUUAAUGCUAGUCCCAAGAGAGGAGGGCAAAUUUUGAGGUGUUACAGCUGCCCCUAUUCAAUCCACUGUGAACCUGUCGAUACGAAAUAGCCUCGGCUUUCGGAUGAUCAGGAUGAAGAGUGAUUGAAUACCAAGAACAGACGAACAAUUUGCACUCUGAUGGGAUAAUAAUUAACAACGCCUGUCAGCAUCGGCGAGGAAACAAACUCGAAAAACGUCGACCUGGAUACCAAAAUAAAUGGUA